UCUUCUGUCCACAAUCCUACAUAUCUUCAUGAUGUCCCAAUCUGGGAAAGAGCCAAGAACCUGGACAGUGGUUAUUUUAGUCUGCCCAGGGUCUCUUCUUUAGAGAAACCUCUUCCUCCACACCAUAUUGUUUUUGAAGCUGUCAGUAAGAAUGUGCAGCCUGCCAUGGGGAUGGUGUCAUGACCCAAACACAGCCAGCCACAGGACUGUCCAUUUGACAAUGUGCUUCAUCCAAGGGGUGGGCACAUGACAUAGGCAUGGCCAACCAGAACCUUCCCCUGGGUUGGAUCUGUGAACCAGGAGGAUAGGUUCUCUUCAGGGUAGGCUGCCAAGGCUGAGAGGAUGGCUUUUAGGGCUUGCACCAGCUAUCUUAUCGGCCACAUGGAAAAACUAAAAUAGCAGAAUAAGCUGAGAGUCUGGGGUGUGUGUGUGUGUGUAGAGCGAGAGGGUGAGAGAGAAUCUUAUAGCACUGAGUUCUGCAUUAGUUUGUUAGCGCUGCCACAACCCUGGUAAUUUAAACAACAGAAAUUCAUUUUCUCACGGUUCUGGAGCCCAGAAGCCUGAAAUCAAGGUGUCAUCAGGGCAGCACUCCCUCAGGAUGAACUGGCCAGCACUGCAGCUAGUUUACCACCCUGACAGCAUAGACUGGAGCUUCCAGGAGCCACACUGUGGAAUCCAAGGAUGAAAUAAGACUACUGAAGGGCUGUUGGCCCCACAGGGUCGUGGGGUGUCCCUUAUGC
Long non-coding RNA from Sapajus apella (tufted capuchin), 740 nucleotides. RefSeq lists it as uncharacterized. The transcript is spliced from 3 exons. NCBI's taxonomy places the organism in Eukaryota, Metazoa, Chordata, Mammalia, Primates, Cebidae. The record is from RefSeq and is a predicted model, not a curated record.